GUGCUUGCUUCGGUAGCGUACAUACUAAAACUAAAACGAUACGGAGACCUGCACGGUCCCUGCACAAGGAUCGCAUGCGAAUUUGUGACGUGUUCCACAUAUUA
Molecule: small nuclear RNA, 104 nt
Organism: Ursus americanus (American black bear)
Lineage: Eukaryota; Metazoa; Chordata; Mammalia; Carnivora; Ursidae
Source: Ensembl